This 76-nucleotide transfer RNA is filed under the name Thioalkalivibrio sp. Its description in RNAcentral is "tRNA-Lys". It matches the Rfam family "tRNA". From Rfam's summary of the family: Transfer RNA (tRNA) molecules are approximately 80 nucleotides in length. Their secondary structure includes four short double-helical elements and three loops (D, anti-codon, and T loops). The record is from RNAcentral. Lineage: Bacteria; Pseudomonadati; Pseudomonadota; Gammaproteobacteria; Chromatiales; Ectothiorhodospiraceae.
GGGCCGUUAGCUCAAUUGGCAGAGCAGUAGACUCUUAAUCUAUUGGUUGUAGGUUCGAUUCCUACACGGCCCACCA